Long non-coding RNA from Entelurus aequoreus (snake pipefish), 3121 nucleotides. RefSeq lists it as uncharacterized. The transcript has 7 exons. The record is from RefSeq and is a predicted model, not a curated record. Lineage: Eukaryota; Metazoa; Chordata; Actinopteri; Syngnathiformes; Syngnathidae.
CGAACGUUAUAAGGUACAAAUUCAACAAGUACAACAUUAGCACGGACGUAUAGCCAUGUUGUGGUUAAGAAGGUGGAUUUUUGUUCCUUAUAUUUACCAGAAACGAAGUGAUCCGAACACACGACCCGGGACUUUGGGGGACUCCAGUGAGAACCGUCCUCGUUUUCCCGGUGUAAAGCUGCGAGCCAUUUGUCUCGUCUCUGUGGGCUUUUAUCACGCUUUGGCAGAACAAAAUACAACCUUUGUUUUCCCUGUUUCCAGUUGUGGUUAGCACAACCAAAAACAACACAGUUUUUCGGCAUUUUGGAGGCAGAAUGACGGGUUUAACCAGCGUAGGUCGACAGGUAAAGAGUAAUGGCAACGGUUUGUUUUCAACGCCAGUCUGGUUGCUAUGGCUCGAAGAACCCGUAUGUAGCUCAGUUGCCCGGAUGUCGGCCCUCACCCUGCACAAAUUGGCGCUGAAUAUGUCGAACCUGGUUUAAAAAAUGUUUUUAAUCCCCUGUAAUUGUAAAACUUAACCUCUCACGGGUUAAUUCGCUUAGCAUUUUGCUUAACUAGCUAAAAUGGUCGUGUUCAUAGACAUAUAAGUAGACGCAGCAUUGGCUGCUGUGACGCGAGAAAUUCGGCCGCCAUCUUGAAGUGGUGAUGAGGAGCCGGCGAGCAGCCUAAACUGGCAGUUGACAGGUAGAAAACAAAGAUGCCGGGCUGGUGUUCAGCGUUUUCCUGCUCAAAUGAGCGGACUGUUGAAAAUAGGAAUCGGGGGAUUACUUUUCACAAGUAAGAAUUAACAUUAACGUACUAUUGUUUGUGUUUUGUGAAAAGAAUAUUACCACAGAGUUGAGGAGCAAAGAUCUUCAAUAGUACUAAAAUCGUAGCCGCUAGCAAACAAGAAUAUGACCAUAAUAUAAUUUGUUGUCAAUGAAAUUGCAUUUAAAAAUGUCAUACAUGAAUAACAAAGUUGAAAUAAAUGAUGAAGAUAAAGAUUGUAAAAGCCAACAGGGGUAAAAGUUAGGACCACAGUCUAGAUUGUGUAGGGGGGUAAUAUAUGUUAGCUAACUAGACAAUCAGAUGGACAGUGGCUAUACAGUAUUAUACAAGUCUAAAUUUAGUCUAGCUUUCUAACCCAAUUUUUAUGUAGGAUAUACACAUGUAUAUAUAACCUAAUCAUAUUGUUUCUUGAAUGUAGGAAUAGCUGACCGUUUUUUUCCCCCUUCUCUGGGAUUAUAUUCCCAGUUUUGUUCUCGGACGUCUGGUCACUUAUAGCAUAUAAGAAUAUUCUAUUACUGUUAAGCAAACUAUGAAUAAUAAAACACGCCAAAACAUGUGUCCUUUAUCAUAGCUACACGUAUGACAAAAAACCGCGUGAAAAUCAGUGGUAUUCAGUGAGGUAAGAUGAAUUAAAUGCGCUGACAGUUCAUUGCUCCUGCCAAAUGAAUUGCACUGAGUGGAGCGGAUCACCACUCCAAGAUGGCGGCCCCGCGUCUCGUCAGCGCCAGUAGGCAGUAGUGCUCGAUGCUGCAUACCCUUAUAACAUGAUAUUUUAGUUAGCUAGCGUGCUAUUUGCCUUACGAUGUUGCAUGAUAUUAAUUAGCGCUUAUAUAGUUUGAGUCAAGUUUACAUGUUAUAACUGCACAAAUCGGCGCUGAAUAUUUCGAAUCUGGUUAAAAAAAAUCUUAAUCACCUGUCUAACUGUAAAACUUAACCUCUCACGGGUUAAUUCGCUUAGCAUUUUGCUUAACUACCUAAACUGGUAGUGUCGUUAACCUAACUAUCUUUGACUUUUUUGGAACGUCGAAUAUAAAAUGGUCAACACUGGGGGGGCGAGAAAAAAAAUUCUCAGUCUAAGCCUGGGCCCCUGUAGAGGGGGUCCAGACUGAGGCCAAGGAAGAAAAAAAACUCAUAGCCAUAGCACACAUAAACGUGUGUAAAAGGGGAAACAUCAAAGGACAUUAAAAGAGCAGAGCUGAUGCAACCAGCCACGUCUACACACAGCCACAAAAGUAAACCAAAAAAAACAAAACAUACCCGGUACACUGUGGAGGCCUCGGCGUGUUCCAUGCCAUUGUCUGCUGGGGUGGGGGGGAGCAUGGCCAGAGACAGGAGCAGACCCAACAAAGCAACCAAGAGAGCCAUUACGCCCUUCUUGGAAGAAUAAAAUGUUUCGUGCCCCCCCGAAGGAAGAAAAAAAUGUUUCACGCCCCACCUCCCCACUCUUUGCUGCGACUGGCUGGACCAGAGAUCCCUGGACUCACCUUGAGCCAUCCGGCAUAGAAGAAGAACUGCAGCAGCGUGAAGACAGUGUCGACACGCUGAUGAAACCAAAGAGAGUCACGUCGGUGAGGAGUCUCAAAGCGAUGUCGUCCCUCACGCGACCCUCUUCCCUCGCUCUGGAGGCCAGGACAGACACAAGUGGUACCUACCGGCCUCCACCACGUGCUCCAGCGUAGGGAAGCGCUUGUGAACCCUGGUGCUGAUGGAGCGCAGGAUGAGAACCGACGACAGGUUGGCGUAUCUCAUCAGUGUGCGGCGAAGCAGGCGGCCCCUUUCGUCGGUGCCGUGGACGUUGCCGGAAACCACCAUCAUCAGGUUGUCGGGCAGCGGGAAGCUGGUGUAUUGACCCCACCAACGGUUGAAGGCCAACGUCACGUAAAAGCCUGAAAAAGUGUGUAUGGAAAGGUCAAAAUAUUAGAAACAGUUGUCAUCCAUCCAUUUUCUACCGCUUGUCCCUCUGAGGAUCGUAGGGGGGGGCUGGAGCCUAUCCCAGCUGCACUCGGGCGGACGGCAAGGCUGUCGUUUCACAUCUCUGGCUGAACAACAUCUCCACCACCUGGGGGUCAGCCAGCGUGGAGAGGUCUCCCAGGUCCUUGUCGUUGCGGGCGACCUGCCUGAGGAUCCGCCUCAUGAUCUUUCCUGAGGAUGAGGAAGCUUUGAGUGUCCGUGUUGUGUCACCUGCCGUCUUGAGCGCGGCCACCAGCGAGGGGUUGAAUUCGCCGCCGUCUUUGAGGGUGACAAAGCAGUAAAGACACUCGCCCUUCACCUGGUGCGGUCGACUGACCACGGCGGCCUCGGCCACAGCCGAGUGCUCGGUCAGCGCCGCCUCCACCUCGGCACUGCUCAUCAG